RNAcentral lists this long non-coding RNA (817 nucleotides) under Homo sapiens (human). RNAcentral describes it as "HSALNT0022815". The record is from RNAcentral. Lineage: Eukaryota; Metazoa; Chordata; Mammalia; Primates; Hominidae.
UGGCGCAUACCUGUCUUGGUGGCACGCACCUGUCAUCCCAGCUACUCAGGAGGCCUGAAGUGCAAGAAUCGCUUGAACCCGGGAGGCAGAGGUUGCAGUGAGCAGAGACUGCGCCACAACUACAUUCCAGCCUGGGAGACAGAGUGAGACUCCAUCCCCCCACCGCCCCCCAAAAAAAGGAUCAGAGACAAGUGUAAGCAAAUAUUAGGAAAAUGACACUCCCUAUUUUAAUCAAAAUAUGAUCUCCUUGUAACAUACACAAUGUAAAGUAGAUAAUCUUAUCCUUAUUUUAGGGAGGAGGAAACUGAGAAUCAAGGAUGUUAGGUAACUUGCAUCAAGUUGGCCAGCUUGAUCUCUGAGUAGUGGCAGAACCAGAACCCGAUUUGAACCAGCCUCACUCUAAGCCCCAGCCCUUGCCACACCACCACCACCCAUCAAUUACAUAUCCACAAAGAACCUCCGUCUGGUCACGUAUGAAAUGAGGGAUUGCUGCCGUCCAGUUGGGAAUCCUGGAGUCUGAAUGCCCCACCACAGACGGCAGUGAUCAGAAAGAUAUUCUUCUCUGGGGAGGGCUGGGCCCCAUCCACUCCCCAGUCAACUCCCCACAUUCCAGGGAGAUGCAGUGAGCUCUUCUCUGCAGCCAGCUCAGGCUCAUGACUGCACUGCCAGGGAAGAGAGUAACAUUGCUCCAGACCCAUUUGUACCUGACUGCUCUAAAGGUUACCUUGGAUCUGGGAAAGUUUGCUGAGUAAAUUAAUAACAUAAGCAAGGACGUAAGAAGAACUUUAACCUACCUCACAGAAUUCUAUACUAAGAG